This 490-nucleotide ribosomal RNA is filed under the name uncultured bacterium. RNAcentral describes it as "partial 16S ribosomal RNA". It matches the Rfam family "Bacterial small subunit ribosomal RNA", at positions 30 to 507 of the family's 1533-position model. The record is from RNAcentral.
AUUGAACGCUGGCGGCAGGCCUAACACAUGCAAGUCGAACGGUAACAGGAAGCAGUUUGUUGCUUUGCUUACGCGUGGCGGACGGGAGUGUAAUGUCUGUGACACAGCUUGAUGGCGGGGGUUAACUACUGGAAACGGUACCAAAUACCGCAUAUCUAUUCAAGCCCAAAGAGGGGGACCUUCAGGCCUCUUUCCAUUGGAUGUGCCCGGAUUGCAUUAGCUAGUAGGUAGGGUAACGGCUUACCAAGGCAACGAUGCGUAGCCGGUCUGAGAGGAUGACCGGCCACACUGGAACUGAGACACGGUCCAGACUCCUACGGGAGGCAGCAGUGGGGAAUAUUGCGCAAUGGGCGAAAGCCUGAUGCAGCCAUGCCGCGUGAAUGAUGAAGGCCUUCGGAUUGUAAAGUACUUUCAGCGGGGAGGAAGGAAGGUGAAUUAAUCCAUUUACUCAUUGACGUUACCCAAAGAAGAAGCCCCGGCUAACUCCGUG